AUUAAACGCUGGCGGCAUGCCUUACACAUGCAAGUCGAACGGUAGCGCGGGGCAACCUGGCGACGAGUGGCGAACGGGUGAGUAAAGCAUCGGAACGUGCCCUGGAAUGGGGGAUAACGUAGCGAAAGUUACGCUAAUACCGCAUAUUCUGUGAGCAGGAAAGCAGGGGAUCGCAAGACCUUGCGUUCUGGGAGCGGCCGAUGUCGGAUUAGCUAGUUGGUGGGGUAAAAGCCUACCAAGGCGACGAUCCGUAGCGGGUCUGAGAGGAUGAUCCGCCACACUGGGACUGAGACACGGCCCAGACUCCUACGGGAGGCAGCAGUGGGGAAUUUUGGACAAUGGGCGGAAGCCUGAUCCAGCCAUGCCGCGUGAGUGAAGAAGGCCUCGGUUGUAAGA
This 396-nucleotide ribosomal RNA is filed under the name uncultured bacterium. Its description in RNAcentral is "bacterial SSU rRNA". It matches the Rfam family "Bacterial small subunit ribosomal RNA", at positions 29 to 430 of the family's 1533-position model. The record is from RNAcentral.